GCCAGACUCCUACGGGAGGCAGCAGUCGAGAAUCAUUCACAAUGGGGGAAACCCUGAUGCAGCGACGCCGCGUGAGCGAAGAAGUAUUUCGGUAUGUAAAGCUCUAUCAGCAGGGAAGAAAAUGACGGUACCUGACUAAGAAGCCCCGGCUAAAUACGUGCCAGCAGCCGCGGUAAUACGUAUGGGGCAAGCGUUAUCCGGAUUUACUGGGUGUAAAGGGAGCGCAGGCGGCUUGGCAAGUCUGAUGUGAAAGGCUGGGGCUCAACCCCAGGACUGCAUUGGAAACUGUUAGGCUGGAGUGUCGGAGAGGUAAGCGGAAUUCCUAGUGUAGCGGUGAAAUGCGUAGAUAUUAGGAAGAACACCAGUGGCGAAGGCGGCUUGCUGGACAGUAACUGACGUUGAGGCUCGAAAGCGUGGGGAGCAAACAGGAUUAGAUACCCCAGUAGC
RNAcentral lists this ribosomal RNA (447 nucleotides) under uncultured bacterium. Its description in RNAcentral is "bacterial SSU rRNA". It matches the Rfam family "Bacterial small subunit ribosomal RNA", at positions 330 to 794 of the family's 1533-position model. The record is from RNAcentral.